Molecule: ribosomal RNA, 490 nt
Filed under: uncultured bacterium
Lineage: Bacteria
Description: partial 16S ribosomal RNA
Rfam family: Bacterial small subunit ribosomal RNA
Source: RNAcentral
AUUGAACGCUGGCGGCAUGCCUUACACAUGCAAGUCGAACGGCAGCAUGAUCUAGCUUGCUAGAUUGAUGGCGAGUGGCGAACGGGUGAGUAAUACAUCGGAACGUGCCCUGUAGUGGGGGAUAACUAGUCGAAAGAUUAGCUAAUACCGCAUACGACCUGAUGGUGAAAGUGGGGGACCGCAAGGCCUCAUGCUAUAGGAGCGGCCGAUGUCUGAUUAGCUAGUUGGUGAGGUAAAGGCUCACCAAGGCGGCGAUCAGUAGCGGGUCUGAGAGGAGGAUCAGCCACACUGGGACUGAGACACGGCCCAGACUCCUACGGGAGGCAGCAGUGGGGAAUUUUGGACAAUGGGCGAAAGCCUGAUCCAGCAAUGCCGAGUGUGUGAAGAAGGCCUUCGGGUUGUAAAGCACUUUUGUCCGGAAAGAAAUGGCUCUGGUUAAUACCUGGGGUCGAUGACGGUACCGGAAGAAUAAGGACCGGCUAACUACGUG